Long non-coding RNA from Eptesicus fuscus (big brown bat), 100 nucleotides. RefSeq lists it as uncharacterized. NCBI's taxonomy places the organism in Eukaryota, Metazoa, Chordata, Mammalia, Chiroptera, Vespertilionidae. The transcript has 3 exons. The record is from RefSeq and is a predicted model, not a curated record.
GGAAGGCCCAUUCUUAAUCCACUGAGUGAAUUGGAUGUAAGCACAAAGCCCAGUAGCCAUGGACUUCGAAUCAUCACUUCUCAGAGGCAUCACUCAAGGA